CCCCUUAUAGAAUCGAUUAUUGAUGGGAAGAUAUUAUUAAUUAUCGAAAAUAUUAUUUAAUUAUUCUCAGAAUUAUUUUCUUUCAAUGUUUAUUAAAAUACAACUAAAACCCAUCACAGAAUUUUAAAAUGCUUGCUGACGUCACAUUUAAACGUGGCAACAUUGGUUUCCCCACUUUGACAGCUAGGGAUUUUGAGAAUUGCCACGAGGUUCUUGGGCCGUUGAACUGAACACGCCAUUGUGCUUUGAGGAGUGAGUCUACGUAGAUGCGGGGUUAUUGAACUAAGAUUUACCUAUAAUUCUAAGUUCCAAAGUUAUUAAAUAGUUAUAUUGUAGUCAUCCAGGAUCAGUGAACAGUGAAUUUGAAGAAUUGUACCGCAUAAUGGAGUUCCACCCCGCAUCUACUAUGAAAUCUUAAAAAACAAAAACCACCUAACACCACCAGGGACAGACCACUCCUCGAGCAACAAUCACUGGACAACCAGCCUGGAUCAUUUCCAGUUGUUCUUCCUUUAAGUACCUCCAGCUGUUUCCACCAGCCUUCCUGUACCUCCAGCAGGACCGCUGCAAGCGAAAGUUAGCACCACUGGGUGCUCAUUACAUCAGCCAGACGAUUGUGUAAAAGGGGUUUGUUUGGGGACAUUUGGUGCGUUUUUAGUAAAGACAGACUGUUUUUUGUGAUAUUCAGGACAUAUUUUUUUUUAUAGUUUAAUUGCACACAAAUUUUUCCUGCUUCAUAUUUU
This 743-nucleotide long non-coding RNA is filed under the name Diabrotica virgifera virgifera (western corn rootworm). RNAcentral's name for it is "uncharacterized LOC126892712". The record is from RNAcentral. Lineage: Eukaryota; Metazoa; Arthropoda; Insecta; Coleoptera; Chrysomelidae.